UACGUAGGGUGCGAGCGUUGUCCGGAAUUAUUGGGCGUAAAGGGCUCGUAGGCGGUUUGUCGCGUCGGGAGUGAAAUCCACUGGCUUAACUGGUGGCUUGCUUUCGAUACGGGCAGACUGGAGGUAUGCAGGGGAGAACGGAAUUCCUGGUGUAGCGGUGAAAUGCGGCAGAUAUCAGGAGGAACACCGGUGGCGAAGGCGGUUCUCGUGGGCAUGGUCCUGACGCUGAGGAGCGAACGUGUGGGGAGCGAACAGG
RNAcentral lists this ribosomal RNA (256 nucleotides) under uncultured bacterium. RNAcentral's name for it is "partial 16S ribosomal RNA". It matches the Rfam family "Bacterial small subunit ribosomal RNA", at positions 524 to 776 of the family's 1533-position model. The record is from RNAcentral.